This 232-nucleotide long non-coding RNA is filed under the name Mytilus galloprovincialis (Mediterranean mussel). Lineage: Eukaryota; Metazoa; Mollusca; Bivalvia; Mytilida; Mytilidae. The record is from RNAcentral.
GACGGGUUCAAACAGAAAGAUGUUAAAAGCAGAGAAAACUUCAUCUUAUAAUCGGCAUGACUUUAUCAGAUGACAAUACCAAUACUAAAAUAAGGCUUACGCAUAGUUAUAUUCUUUAAUUCAGUCACAGACCCGCGAUAUCACGGAUGUGUUCUAGUAAAUAUAUAAAUAUAUAUACAUAUUAAGUUGUGAAUAUGGUGAAACUAAUCCUCAAAAUAAGUUUAAAAUGCCC